GGAGAGGUCGCAUAGCUUGGUUUAGUGCGCACGCUUGGAAAGCGUGUGACUCACAAGGUCCGAGGGUUCGAAUCCCUCCCUCUCCGCCA
Molecule: transfer RNA, 89 nt
Filed under: Candidatus Omnitrophota bacterium
Lineage: Bacteria; Pseudomonadati; Candidatus Omnitrophota
Also listed under: 1 other name
Description: Candidatus Omnitrophica bacterium tRNA-Ser
Rfam family: tRNA
About the family: Transfer RNA (tRNA) molecules are approximately 80 nucleotides in length. Their secondary structure includes four short double-helical elements and three loops (D, anti-codon, and T loops).
Source: RNAcentral